UUUUAAAACUUUAAUUUAUUCUUAUUAUUAAAACUUGACAUGACUGAUAAAAUAACUAGACAAUUACAUGCGGUGUGACUUGUGCACCUCAUGUUGACAUACAAGAAUCAGUUUUUAACAAUAAAAAUGAAUAAAAUUUUUAACC
Non-coding RNA from Gossypium raimondii (Peruvian cotton), 145 nucleotides. NCBI's taxonomy places the organism in Eukaryota, Viridiplantae, Streptophyta, Magnoliopsida, Malvales, Malvaceae. The record is from Rfam.